Delphinapterus leucas (beluga whale) is the source of this 4846-nucleotide non-coding RNA. The record is from RefSeq and is a predicted model, not a curated record. NCBI's taxonomy places the organism in Eukaryota, Metazoa, Chordata, Mammalia, Artiodactyla, Monodontidae.
UGGAGUUUUUCUAAACUGGAAGGCAAUCCCCUUUGUAGAGCAGAUCUGCUGUCCUUUAUGUAAACAGCUUCACUUUUUGUUGGCUGUCUCUGACAUCUUCUGUGCAGAAAGCCUUCUUUGGAGGUCUUUAAAGGGAACUCCCCUGAUGUCUCCUGGCGUAAAUGGUGCAGGUGAGGCUCAACCACUUGUCACCCAAGCCCUAGUCUCUUGCUGUUGGAGUUACCUUGUCCAAUGUGCAGCCAUCUCAGGAGUCUGGCAAGAUAGCUUAAUUACUAGCAACUGUGUACUGAGUCCAGUUGACCCCUGGAAAUUUAACUUACCCUUGCUACAGGGGCUGAGGCAGCUCCCUAUAAUUACACACAGUAUUUUUGCAGCAAAAGAUAGGUAUAUCUACACACUUAGUGAGUCAGUGUUGCCCUCAUAUGUCAGUUCAGGUCUGUUGUUUUCUUUAUGGGAACUGAUUCUCAACUGCCCUCCACCCUACCCCCAUCCCAUGGGAAUUUUGUUAAUUGGCCAUCCAGUGAUCCAAUUCCCCUGGUAUGUGAACUUGACCCAGCUUGGCCAGAGUACCCCCUACCCUGGAUCUGGUGAUUGGUCCAGAGUGGGCACAUAGCAUAAACUGGAACAAAUUAUAUUUUCCUCCCAGGGAUUGACAUGGAGGCUCAGAAAGAGAUCACCUUGCUUUUGAGAUUAAAAGCUCUAAGGAUUUUUUAAGUGUAAUAUCAUCAGAUGCCAUUUUCUUCCUGCCAAGAGACAGAACCUGGCAGAGGAUGAAACAACUGAACACAGAGCUGUGAGCUAUUAAUCUCUGAUGAGUCUCAACACUUACAUGCAGCCUACCUUAGACUGUAACAUACAUGCUCUACAUCUUUGAGUUAUAGGAACUAAUAAAUACCUUUCUCCUAAGCUGACUUGAAUUGGGUUUCUGUCAUAAUCAUGAUUACAGUUGUAAUUUUAUUUGUAAAUUUAUCAACUUUAUACAGUCUUUCUUAUGAAAGGUAAGGAUUUAAAUCAUCCCACUGAGUUAUAUUAGCUCCUCUGAUGUGUUUUAACUUGAAAUACAGCUAACCUACAUUUCUUAUUCUAUCGCCUUUAGACAUCUCCUGAAUCCCCUCUAUAUACAGUGAGCAUAUUUCCCCUUAUUCUUGCUUCAAGCUCUUAUUUCCUUGUCAACCUCCCACCAUCCAGUCUAUAUCAGCUAUAUUUUGCCUUUACAUUAUUAGGUAGAUAUUAGAUAUGUAGAUAUAUAUACACAUAGAGACUUCAGUGAUUUGUCUAUUUUAAAGUUGGAAAUAAAAUAGCAUUAGAUCGUUAUCACCACGUAAAUAUUAUUCUCUGAAGAGUCAGAGCCAAGCAAUGUGUGACGAUUACAUUUUCUGCUCUACAAGUCCAAUGUUAUGAUCCCAGUACCCACUUAAAGGAAUCUAUUCCUUGUAUCAGUCAUAUGGACUUUUUUUUCAUAUUCUAGUUAUUUUCCAAAGUCAUGUCACAUUUUAUGGGGACUUGCUUUAUAUUAGGACCAUAAUAUCUGGUAUGGCUUCUCCUUUUUUUUUUUUUCCAGAGCCAGUAAUUGUUUUUCUUUCCUUCUGACGAACUUUUGUCUUCACCAUUAUUACUAAAAUCCUCAAACUUUGUAUUAAUUCUAUUUAAUGUAACUCACCCCUUUCAUUCUUAAGUUCCUCUUCACUGACUCCCUGGAUAUCUAGCCUACCAGUAAUUUGGUCUGAUUCUUGCAGGGUGAUCAUCCUAUUCAGCCUCAGCACCACUUAACUGGGUUAGAUCCACUGUUUAAAGCCUUUCCUGUUUUUUACCUUUUCCAUCCAAAUUUUGCUGAAGCUAAUCAUUCAAUACCCUAUUAAAAGACAGUGGGAGUAAACUGAAGUAAACUGGUAAUACAAAAUAUCAGUACUUGGCCUCAUGCUUAAUUACUGUUUGGGUAUAAAGUUCUAGAUUCAAAGCAGUUUUAACUCACAAGUUGGAAGGUGCUGUUCUGUAUUCUACAAUCUAAUAUUGCUCAUCAGAGGGAAGGCUAAUGCUAUCUUGAUCAUUAUUCUUUAUCAGGAGAAAUUUCCAUAUUUUGAAAGCUUUUAGGAUGGCCUCGUCUUUAGUAUUAUGAAAUUUCACAAGCGUAUUUCUGGGUGUCUUUUGUUUCUAUUGUAAUUGUACUUUUUGCCACUUCAGCCUGCCCAACAUUGAGUGAGCUAGUCCUAGCUGAGUGUUCAUAAUUUUCUUCAGUUUAGAAAGAUUCUUAAUCACUUAUUUGAUACAUUCCUAUUAUAUUUUCUCCAUUAAUUUUUUUUCUGGAACUCAUAUUAAUUAGAUGUUAGACCUUCUGAACUUCCAGGUCCCUUUUGUUUCUCAUUUAACUUUUCAAUUUAUGAACUUGAAGAGUUUCCACAAUUUUCUUUCAAACCUUCUAUUACAGCAAUAAUGUUUUUUCAUCCUUAGGAUCUGUCUUAUUCCUGUUUUUGGUAGCUUCCCAUAUUUGCUUUAAAAGUGCAAUAUCUAUUCAAAUCUCAGACUAACAUAAAUUUUUAUUUUCUUCUCAUUAUAUAACUUUCCCUACUCUGGUUUAGUCUCUCUCUUGGUCCUUAUUAUGCUUGUACUUUUCUUCAUCUGUGAUGAUCCUUAGCUGUCUGUUCACGCUUAAUAAUGAUAGGGUUUGAUUAUCUUAGGUAGAUAGCAGGAGGUUCUUUGGUUAUUCUCAUUGUAGAUCUGUUUCCCUGAAUGAAAAGGUUUACUGGGAUCUCUGCCUGCAUGGCAAAGGCUGGUGAGUUGAUGGGAAAUUCUCCAAAUUCCAAAAAAGGUUUCAACUUAGGCUGCCAACUCUCACUCUAGCUGCUCUAGUUCUCCGUGAGUUUGUUGAAUUUUUUCAUAGUUUAAGUUUUUAAAAUUUUAACAUUCUUAUUUAAAACUUCAAACAUUACAGAUAAUGGUAAAUCUACCCUCUUGACCAGAAUGUCCAAUUCUAGUUCCCUCCCCCAAAGAAACACUUAUCAGUUGGAUGUGUCUGUUCAGGACUUUUUCUAAGUAUUUGCAUAGUUAUAUAAAUGUAUUAUAAAUAUAUUUUAAAUAUACUCUAUUAUUCUGAAAAUUUUCCAUUUUCAAUCAGUGUCUUUUAGUCAAAUCCAUACCAAUAUUACAAGUCCAUUUUUUUAAACUGGUGCUAGUAUUUCUAGUCAUGCCUCUAUUGAUGGAAAUUUAGACUGUUCCCAGUUUCAUGUACUGUGCUGGCCUCCAAAGGGGUUAUAGUGAGCAUUUUUAAAACUUCAGUGCUUCCAAAUUAGCACUGAUGAGAGUAUUUAUUUCUCUACACAACUACCAAGUUUUUUUAUUAUUGUAGAUUACUUAAAUUUGCAUCUCUCAAUACUAGCAAGGUUAAGCAGGGACUCAUAUUUAUGGUCCAUCUGUAUUUCUUCUGACUUGCACAUUCUUGUCCUUUGUUCAUUUUUAUUCUUACUUGGUUGUCCUUUACCUAUUUAUAGGUACUCUUACAUCUUUCCCUUUGUAUUAUAUUACAAUUUUUUCCCAUUCUGUUUCUUAUCUUUGUCUUUUUAAAAGCAUUCUCACGUUUGAUUUAAUCAACUUCAUUAUGGCUUUCAUUUUUGUCUAAUUUACGAAUAUAUGUCCAACAGCAAAGUCAUAAGCAUAUGGUACUAUAUUUUCUUCUAAUACUUUACUAUUUACUUUAACAUUUAGGAUUUUAUUCAACUGGAACUAAUUUUUGUGAAUGCUGUGAAGGAAGGAUCCGUUUCAAUUUACUUACAGAAGAGAGGGUGGAGUGGGAAAGCUGUUGGCAGGGGUACUAACAUAACUUUCACAUAAAAAAUCAUUAACUGUCUUGUCAUCGUGUCUCCUUAUUACCCAGCCUCUACAGAAGCCAACUCAAAGCAUGAACUUUUCUAGGGACCCUUUGGACAGACUGACUCCCUUUACUGAAAUCCCUGUCAUGCCAACAUUUCAGUUUUGGAAUUACAGCUUAGAAGCUUAACAACUUUUCUAUUUAAAUGACAUGUGUUUAAUACAAUUCAUCUACCUGGAAUUAAGAGAGAAAAGAAGAAGUUCUAAAGCACAAAUUGGUGAACGAACUACAUAAGAAGUUCAAGGAUUUAACAGCUAUUAAAUGCAGUCUAAUAAUGAGAUUAUAGAGAAUGAGAAUGAAGGAAAAUUUAUUAAGAAAAUAAAUCAUGCAUAACUAAAGGUAAUUAUCAGAAAAUCAUAAUAAUCUUUUUAUAUAUAUAUUAAUAUAACAGUCUGCAAACACCCUUCCUCUCUUGCUGCUAGUUAUCCUGCAUUCAAGCUAAGUUCAUUACCUUUAAAAAACCAAUUUCAUGUCAGUGUGGCUAAAUAAACUCCCAGUACCAUUAAUUGCCAUAGGCUGUAAAUAAAACUCUAUGGUUAAACUUUUGCAGCCUGGAAGUGGUCUUCCUGAGUAUCAUUUUCUGUGUGAUAUGUUCCAACCAAAUGUAAGUUUUCAGUUGAUACUCAAGCUAAGAUGCCUUCAUAUAGAAGUAAUUUUGUAUAAAAUUUCUUGGUUUUAUUAACCUGCCAUUGGCCUUAAUUUGCCUUACCCUUUUCAUUCCCAAAUCAAAUCACCUAUUAUUCUGUUCAAGACUUUCCAAUGGUUUCUCACCUUAUUUAUAGUAAAACCAAAAUUCCUAUUAUGAUUUACAAAAGCAAUGUAGCACAUGAACAUAAAUGUAAAGCCUAUAUAAAAUUAUGGCAAAUAAAAUCCAGGAACAUAUGAAAGCAUAAUCAUAACCAAGUGGAGUUUGUCCCACGAAUGCAAGGUUGGUUUAAUAUAUGAAAAUCAAUGUAAUUCACCACAUUAACAGAUUAAAUUCAA